CAGGAUGUGUGAUGUGUGGGAACCGAGAAUAAAAAGAGAAAUGAAAGUAGAGGGGGGAGUAUACAGUACACACACACACACACACACCGUCUACACGGCUACAGCGACAGGUUAAAAGGUCAGACUUUAAGGUGUAAAGAUGGCCAGUGCUCCAGUACCGCUCACUAACGUGGGAAGCGGCUACACCAUCGUCACUCAGGUUAUUCCCGCAUCUACAGUCCUGAAUACAGAGGGACAAAAUUCACCUCAGAUACGCAACCCACUGCAGAAGUUCCUGAAAGGAGAACCCAAAGCUCUGGGAGCUGUCCAAAUAAUUAACGGUAUAUGGAUGAUGGCGAUCGGUGUGUUCGCGCUAAUUGGAUACUCUUUCUGGGGCCAAGUGCUCCACAUCAUAGCUGGUUCUCUGACAGUUUCAGCGAGCAGAAAAAUGAAUCCCUGUGCGGUGAAGGCUGCUUUGGUUAUGAAUAUCUUCAGUGCCAUAGCUGCUGGAAUCAGCAUCAUCCUCCUCUUCAUGCAGCUGAUCUUGGGGUACAGGUGGAUGGAAUAUAGAUACAUUCCAUGGACCAUCACAGGAAUCACUAGCAUGUGUCUGAUUUUCUCUAUGCUCCAGUUUGCAAUCUCCAUCUCCAUCUCAGUUUUUGCCUGUAAAGCCACACGCUCGGGUGAACCUACUAUGAACGUCAUCAACAUGGUUCCAAAUCCUGAGGGAUAUAUUCCUGUGCCGAAUUCCUUCCCCGCUAACCCGUGGACACAAAAACAAAACAAAAACAAAACCAAAAAAAUCACCUGGGUUCUGGUCACCGACAGCCACAGUCAAAUGUUCUAACAGAGGCACCAGCGACUUCCUGUCAGUGAAGAGCAGUGAAGCUGCAGCAGUGCAGAAAAAGCUUUUCAUUACCAGGUCAGCUGUGAAAAAGCUCUUUCUUGCUUCAGAUCUGCAUCACGUGCACUCUGCCUGGUAAAAAUAAUCACUUAAUAAGUGUUGAGGAUGCAGAAGAUAGGGUUAGGUGGAGAGAGAUGAUUCGCUGUGGCCAACCCUGAAGGGAAAAGCCGAAAGAAGAAGAAGAAGAGAGGGUGAACAUGGCAAGAUCUUCAGAUUUCCAAAAUAUCUGUCCAAAAUUAGGCAGUAAACAUUUCUUGGAUUUAAUAUUAGGGUAUGAAGCUUAUUAAGGUAAGUGCCAUUCCAGUGAUGCACAUCACCUUCAUGAUUAGAGUUUAGAUUUCUGUUUUAUAGCAGCACUUUCAUAUUCGAAAAAUGAAUAUAAGAUGAUUGAUCAGAAUUCCAGCUUGUGUUUCUUGAUACUUACAUAUUGAUUUGUUAAAAAACAUGAAAAUGGCUUGCUUUUCUCCCACAGCUGCCUGGUCUUCAUGUUGGUUCAGACCAAAGCUAAAUCUGAAUAUCUCUACUACGAUUCUAUACAGUGGGCGAAAAGUAGUUGUAUGUCAGAAUUGCCAUUGUUCAUAAAACAGUGAAUACCCGGAUGACCUACUGCAGCAUUGGGACUGGCGCAGAACAGCUGUCAGAAUCAAACCUUGGAGAAAGGCAACAUGUACUCGUUUAACAGCAAGAGCAAACUGUUAAAUGUUUAAACAAGAAAAACAGGUUUUGGAGUUUUGCGGCAUCGUAGUAGGUCACAUGACAAUGCCAACAUGGCGGCUGUAGUAUAUCUGGAUUGUAUUCCUACUACACGCCUAUACUGAUCAGUGUGUGGCAUAUCGAUGGCUGAGCAGUAGGUACUGACUUGACAUGGACAACAGGCAGUGACCUGACCCAAUACUUUUUGAAAUGUGUGGGUUCAAACAAAAGGUGCCAUGUUCUAAGUUGUUUAACAAAUUUUCAGAUAUCAGAAAAUGAUUUGUUGCAAAACAAAACAAAACAAAAAACCUGGCCUUUGUGCUCCAAAACCUUUGGAGUUUGUACAGUUAACUUAAUAUCAGUGUUCAUGUUAAUUUUAUUUUUUUGUCUUUUUGUUCUGCAGACUGUCCAGAUAAUGAUUGGAAGUGUUUUGUUCACCUUUGGUAUCGUUUUAAAGAAUGUUAUGAACGGUGUGACUGCUGACAGUCGCGUCACGUACUGGGGAGCUUUUUGCUUUGUCAGUGCUGGUGGUCUGGCAAUAACUUCUGUGGACUACUACAGACCCUCUGUGGUGAAAGCCUCACUGGUUAUGAACGUGGUCAGUGUGCUGGCUGCAGUUGUGGCUGUUGUCGUAUUUUCCGUUGAUUUGAGAAACUGCCAAGUUGAACUGUGUAGUCCAUGCUUUUAUGAACUGUCAAUGUAUUACUGUCAACUGGAACUGGUGUGUAUCUCACACUCACUCUAUUCUUCUCACUGACACUUAUUACUCGCAGCACUUACAGCGCAUACUCUCAUAGAAAUAAUGACAAAUAUGAUAAACUGAAUAUACAGAUAAACAAUUAUAUAUAAAUCCAUCCUGAAUGAUGGAAUGAUAAAAAUGGAAAUAAAAAUCCAUCCUGAAUGAUAAAAACUAACAAUAAUAUUAAUAUGAAAAUCACUAAAGUGAAUGAGAAAAACAAAGCUUGUUUGUAAGAGCAUUAAUAAGAGCAGUAUUGUUUUUUCCCUCAGAAAGGAAUAUUGGGAUCAACUGGUGUGCUCCUGGUUUUUGUUCUUUUCGAGGUGUUCAUAUCCAUCAAGAUGUUUUUACUGAACUGGAAAGCCAGAGGCUCACCUCAAAUCGUGUCUUUGACAAACGAUCGUCCAGUCAACAAUCCCCCUGAGGAAAAUUCCAACUCACCAUAAUUCACCUUUAGAAGUCUAGUAACUUUGUCAGAAAACUUGUAUUGACCUGAAGACACAGCCGUAAUUGUGAGCUGUUUACAUUUUUAUGAUGAUAUUGUAGUGUACUUUUUACAGCAUCUUUUUUCACUUAUGUAUCGGAUUGCAUUGUAUUUCUUUAAUAAAAUGAAUUGUAUGUAUAACACCACAUAAAGUGUUGAAUCAUUUUCUAUAAUCAGCUCUGGCAGUAGCACGGGUGUGUGCUAAUCUCUAAUUAACCAAGCAGGAGGGUUCGACCGUUUACAUUUCAUCUUUUCAGCAUUUAUCAUCUCAACAGCAGGGAAUUAAAAAUAAAAUCAAUGCAAUAAACUCAAAUAUAUUGGUCAGUAUGCUAUAUGGGCUGUUUAACAUUUUUUAACAUUUGUUUUUUUGCAAAUUUACAUCAAACUUAAAAAGACUCAUCUAGGGUUCUGAUUAUCACCAUCAGCUGCAGACAAAUUCACUAACAGACCCACCAGCCGCUUUACCUGUAAGUGAAGCGCGGUGAAGCUGCAGCAGAGCAAGAAAGCUUUUUGUUACCAUCUAAUAAAACAUUUACCAGCUAAUUCUAUUCCUUCUCUCAUACUGCUAAAAUUUUAUUCAAUACAUCACACUUAUGUCAAACCGUAAUGAAAAUCUUUAAACAUUUAUGAUUCUGUUUAGUUAAUUUCUUAUUGUGAUAAUUUUAGAAGUAAUGAAGAAUUCCAUUAUAAAUAGAAUAAACACUGAUCGGGCAUAACAUUAUGACCAGUGAGAGGUGAAGUGAAUAAGACUGAUGAUCUCCUCAUCAUGGCACCUGUUAGUGGGUGGGAUAUAUUAGGCAGCAAGUCAACAUUUUGUCCUCAAAGUUGAUGUUAGAAGCAGGAAAAAUGGACAAGUGUAAGGAUUUGAGAGAGUUUGACCAAAAGGGCCAAAUUGUGAUGGCGGAUAGACGACUGGAUCAGAGCAUCUCCAAAACUGCAGCUCUUGUGGGGUGUUCCCGGUCUGCAGUGGUCAGUAUCUAUCAAAAGUGGUCCAAGGAAGGAACAGUGGUGAACUGGAGACAGGGUCAUUUACGGCCGAGGCUCAAUGAUGCACGUGGGGAGAGAAGGCUGGCCCGUGUGAUCCGAUCCAACAGACGAGCUACUGUUGCUCAGAUUUCUGAAGAAGUUAAUGCUGGUUCUGAUAGAAAGGGGUCAGAAUACACAGUCAGGGCUGUUUUGGCAACCAAAGGGGGACCAACACAACAUUAAUGGUCAUAAUGUUAUGCCUGGUUGCUGUAUAUUCUUUAUUUUAAAUACCCAAGUGGAGAAAUAAUGUGCAGCUUGAAUAACUGUGUAAGUAAUGUGGUGCAGAUACGACCACUAUACUGAGAAAGCUGAAACAGAUGAGAUGUGAAACUCGAGUGUUGUGUGAGAAUCCAGACGUGUGUUUUUGCUUUGCUUUGUUGUUGUUUUUUCACACUUAAAAACCACAGAACUUUUCCUGGCACUCGGCUCUCUUCACACGCUUUCAGCAUGUUUCUGCCAAGUGGCAAAUAAACACAAAGACAUUUAGCUGGUACAGUACAGGAUUUGGUGAUCUUCUGACCGCUGAGUUCUCUCAGGGCAGCAGUGAAAACUCGCAGGUUUACAGGAUAAAGGUUUCCACAAGAAUGGCAAAGAAAGUUCUAGAACAAAGCCCGAAAGCACUAGGGACUGUCCAAAUCAUCAUCGGAGUUGUUGUUUUCAUGUUCAGUAUUGUUUUAAACACGAUUGCUGACUCUGUCAUCCAUAUCAAAAGUGUCAGCAGCAGUGUCAUGUACUGGGGACCUUUAAGCUUUAUCAUCUCUGGUGUUCUGUCCAUUAUUUCCCUGGGCAACCAAAAUCCCUCUGUGGUGAAAACAUCACUGGCUAUGAAUGUGAUCAGUUUUGUGACUGCCAUUGUAGCUGCCUGCAUGUUCAACAUUGAUGGGAAGAAGUCUCCAGACUCAAUAUGUUCAUCUACAUAUUGUAAGAGGGAUCUGGCAAUAGUUUAUUGUCAAUUCUUUUGGAAACAUGUUAUUGGAAACAGCGGAGUGCUUCGGGGCUUCUCUAUUCUCCAGGUCUUUGCCUCCAUUGCAACAAUUGUACUGACAUGGAUAAACAGGCGCUCCACUGGAACCGCGGAGAAAAUAAACAAGAACAAAAAUGGCAUCCUCUUUUCUACUGUUUCCAACACAAACAAGUCUCCAGACUUACACAAUCAGGAAGAGAGAAACAUUCUGCCAAUUAGUACUUUAGUGAACAACUACAAAUCCCCUAAAGGUAGCAACAGCACUUGUACUGAAUAAAAGGGAUUACACUUUGGGAUAUAAAACAGACAAAAAAUAAACCUAGUAAUUUUAAGUAUAUUUGAAACAUUUUAAAAGUGUAGCGCGUGUAGGGCUCUGAUGUUGUGUUGUUUUGCUAUAUUUUAUGCCUUCCGUUUUCCAAACAAAUGUUAUAUAUGGUGCAUUAAAUGUAUACGUUUUUUGUUGUAUGUAUUAUUUAUUUAUUUAUUUAUUUUAUUAAGAUGUUUUGUUUAAUUAAAGGGUUCCAGUCCCUGGCAUCAUGCAGCUGUUCCAGUUCCAGUGAAAUUUCACUAAAUGCACUUAAAAAAACAAAACAAAAAACAAACCCUGUGUUAAGAUUGUGUUAAGGCUGUGCAUAUUAACUCACUUUUGUUAAUGUUGGCUGAAUAAACUAUUUAAAUGUAUUUUUUAGCGAAGUUUACGUAAUUAUCAGGAGUAGUAUAAACCGUGCACUGCUGCAUCGUGUACAGCAGCACGGUGGCUUAGUGGUUAGCACAGUUGCCUCACAGCAAGAGAAUCCUGGGUUUGACAUCUAAUUAUCAAAUUUAAUUAUAUUAAAUAUAAUUAAGUAAAUUUUACUCAAUUUAUUUAUGAGCAUCAAGUUAAAUAUUAAGUAGAUUUUACCUAAUAAUGACGGGUGAAUUGUACUUAAUUUUAGAACAGUAAAAUUUAAUUAAAAUCUGUGUGUGCAAAUUGUUACGAGGAUUUUAAUAAGUAAAUCUUACAAGUUUGUUUUUUCAGUGCAUGCUCUUAUUGGCUAAUCUAAGUACCAUAAUGUAAUUAGAUUUAUAACUCCGUUUAGAAUUCAACUUUCAUUUAUCACACACCCAUUGAGGCUAAUUGGAAAAAAGGCUUCAGUUUGCUAGUGAGCAUAAAGAUUGGACUCUGAAGGAAUGGAUAACGGUCAUGUGGUCAGAUGAGUCCAGAUUUUUCCUGUUCCAGAGUGAUAGGUGCAUCAGGGUGAGAAGAGAGGCCGGAUGAAGUGAUGUACCCAUCAUUCCUAGUGCCUACUGUGCCUACAAGCCUGGGGGGGGGCAGUGUGGUGAUCUGGGGUUGCUUCAGUUGCUCAGUCUAGGGUCAGUAACGUUAUGUGCUCAAAAAUGAGGUCAGCUGACUACAUAAAUAUAUGUUCAAAUGAAUGAGCAGUUUUUUCAUCAGUGGAUUUUUUUUCUUCUCUGAUGGCACGGAUAUAUUCUAAGACAUCAAUACCAGGAUUCAUCAGGCUCAAAUUGUGAAUGAGUGGCUCAGAUAACAUCAUGUGGAUUGGCCUCCACAGAAUCCAAACUUUAACCCCAUUAAGAAUCUUUGAGGUUUGCUGGACAAGAGUUUACCCAGAGGUCCGACUCUCUCAUCAUCAGUGAAAGAUCUUGGCAAGAAGUGAAUGCAACUCUGGACAGAAAUAAGUGUUGUAACAUUGCAUAAGCUUAUAGAAAUGAUGACAUGGCAAAAGCGUGCUGUAAUCAAAGAAAAGGGAGGUUUUUGCUUUUUUACACAACCCUUGUAUUUUACCCAAGCUAACCAGCGCUGAGAGUUAACCCCUCAGUGGCUGUGUUGGUAUGUGUGCUGUGCUGUGAGAGCUGAAAUCUGAACCUAUUGCACAAGUCUUGUGGUGAACAUGCGUAACAAAAGGUAUUCCAAUCUAUGGUCUAUAUAAUCAGUCAGUUACCAACAAAACUACCAACACGAGCAUCAGUGACUUCCUGUGAGAGAAGAGCAGUGAAGCUGCAGCACCGAAAAGUCCCAGGUUACCAGGUCUACUGGAUCUCAGCAUCUCUCAGUGAAAAUGCCUCUACCUUCUCUGAAAACAGACCCCAAAUCACUCGGGAUUGUCCAGAUAAUGAAUGGAGCCGUGAUUCUCUUAUUUGGGGUUGUAUUAAGAAAUUCUGACCCUUUGAGUGUCCGCUCCGGGGCCGUGUACUGGGGCUCUCUUUGCUUUCUCAGUGCUGGUUCUCUGUCAGUUGCUGUCAUGGAUCAUCGUACUUCCUUAGUGAUGAAAUCCUCGCUGGUGAUGAACCUCCUCAGCGCUGUGGCUGCAGUUUUAACCGUCAUUAUGUUUUGUGUUGAUCUGGUGCACUUGUCUGUAGACCUCCAACCGUGUUACGAUGUGAACAACAAGGACUGUCUCUUAAUCAUCAUGCUGGUGAUUAUACGAAACGUGUUCAGAAUACUGCUGCUUUUCUCUGUACUUGAAGUCUGCAUGGCCAUUUGGACAUUUGUACUGGUCUGGAAAUCCAGAAACACCCCCGAAGCUAUGGCCACACCCUAAGUAAAGGAUUGAUGAUCCACGUGAGGAUAACAUCGACUCGACUUAACGCAUCUUUAGAGCUUUUUUCUUUUCUGCAUGAUUUCAUUUAUAUAAACCUAAGGCAUGAAAUAAUGAAUUUUUACUGAAGUACCAAAUGAUACUUUACUGAUUUAAAAUUUCAGUAGUGAAUAAUUCUUGUGCAUCACUUAGCAGGUAUCAAACAUCUUGAAUUUAUUGAUUUUUAAAAUAAAAUAAAUAAAGCACACCACAAGGAUGCUGCUGGAUUGAGAUGGGUCAGAAGGUGUUGAUUCAUUUUCUAUCACAGCAGGUUUAUAUUAAUUAAUGCGCUCAUUAUCGUUUCUAUGGUAACAGUGGAAAAAUGUAUUGUUUAUUGAAAUGGUUCAUAUGUAAGAGAGACAAAAGAGUAAGGAAUGUUUACAGCUGCUGUAAUAUGAGAACGCUGAUUAAGUAUAAUUAAACAUAUGGGACAAAGAUAAGAAUAAUGAUGUAAGUUAAGUAGCCAUUAUUUGUCAUAUAUACAUUUCUGCACAAUGAAAUUCUUUCUUCAUAUAUCCCAUCCUUGGAGGUUUGGGGUCGUAGAUGUAAAUAAGCAUCCAAAAGGUUAUGUUUUUUUUGUACAGCAGGCCUCAGGGUGUUUCCUGUUUUAUGCAGCGCUCAGGAAGUGGUUUUAAUGGUUCUUCACGCUACACCAUGAGCAGUAGCUAUCACAAAGUGAUUUUUCAAGCUAAAUGUUUAGUCUGAACCAAUAAAAGCUUCAUUUCCUCACAA
This is an RNA transcript of Hemibagrus wyckioides, 8097 nucleotides long. It is a transcript of the gene named membrane-spanning 4-domains subfamily A member 15-like, with no coding region annotated. Lineage: Eukaryota; Metazoa; Chordata; Actinopteri; Siluriformes; Bagridae. The record is from RefSeq and is a predicted model, not a curated record. The transcript has 24 exons.